CUGGCUCAGGACGAACGCUGGCGGCGUGCCUAACACAUGCAAGUCGAACGGUCCAGUGUCUAACACCGAGUGUUUAAGGAGCAGAUAAGUGGAUGACAGCGCGAAGAAUGAGCGCUCCACGCAUUCAAUAAGUGUCAACACAGCUUCUGGAAUGCUGGGUGUUAGAUGCUGGAUAGUGGCGGACGGGUGAGUAACGCGUGGAUAACCUACCUACUAGACCGGGACAACCCUUGGAAACGAGGGCUAAUACCGGAUAAGCUUACGCCUUGGCAUCAAGGAGUAAGGAAAGAUGGCCUCUGAAGAUGCUAUCGUUAGUAGAUGGAUCCGCGUCUGAUUAGCUAGUUGGUGGGGUAAAGGCCUACCAAGGCGACGAUCAGUAGCCGGCCUGAGAGGGUGAACGGCCACACUGGGACUGAGACACGGCCCAGACUCCUACGGGAGGCAGCAGUGGGGAAUCUUCCGCAAUGGACGAAAGUCUGACG
This 482-nucleotide ribosomal RNA is filed under the name Desulfitobacterium chlororespirans DSM 11544. Its description in RNAcentral is "bacterial SSU rRNA". It matches the Rfam family "Bacterial small subunit ribosomal RNA", at positions 19 to 388 of the family's 1533-position model. Lineage: Bacteria; Bacillati; Bacillota; Clostridia; Eubacteriales; Desulfitobacteriaceae. The record is from RNAcentral.